Molecule: transfer RNA, 90 nt
Filed under: Candidatus Liptonbacteria bacterium
Lineage: Bacteria; Candidatus Liptoniibacteriota
Description: tRNA-Ser
Rfam family: tRNA
About the family: Transfer RNA (tRNA) molecules are approximately 80 nucleotides in length. Their secondary structure includes four short double-helical elements and three loops (D, anti-codon, and T loops). Further hydrogen bonds mediate the characteristic L-shaped molecular structure. tRNAs have two regions of fundamental functional importance: the anti-codon, which is responsible for specific mRNA codon recognition, and the 3' end, to which the tRNAs corresponding amino acid is attached (by aminoacyl-tRNA synthetases). tRNAs cope with the degeneracy of the genetic code in two manners: having more than one tRNA (with a specific anti-codon) for a particular amino acid; and 'wobble' base-pairing, i.e. permitting non-standard base-pairing at the 3rd anti-codon position.
Source: RNAcentral
GGAGAGGUGCCAGAGUGGCCGAAUGGGACACGGUGCUAACGUGUUGUCUCGGAAACGGGACCGUGGGUUCGAAUCCCACCCUCUCCGCCA